CCUACGGGAGGCUGCAGUGAGGAAUAUUGGUCAAUGGACGAGAGUCUGAACCAGCCAAGUAGCGUGAAGGAUGACUGCCCUAUGGGUUGUAAACUUCUUUUAUAAAGGAAUAAAACGAGGCACGUGUGCCUUUUUGCAUGUACUUUAUGAAUAAGGAUCGGCUAACUCCGAGCCAGCAGCCGCGGUAAUACGGAGGAUCCGAGCGUUAUCCGGAUUGAUUGGGUUUAAAGGGAGCGUAGAUGGGUUGUUAAGUCAGUUGUGAAAGUUUGCGGCUCAACCGUAAAAUUGCAAUUGAUACUGGCAGUCUUGAGUACAGUUGAGGUAGGCGGAAUUCGUGGUGUAGCGGUGAAAUGCUUAGAUAUCACGAAGAACCCCGAUUGCGAAGGCAGCUUACUAAACUGUGCCUGACAUUGAUGCUCGACAGUGUGGGUAUCAAACAGGAUUAGAUACCCUUGUCGUC
RNAcentral lists this ribosomal RNA (460 nucleotides) under uncultured bacterium. Its description in RNAcentral is "partial 16S ribosomal RNA". It matches the Rfam family "Bacterial small subunit ribosomal RNA", at positions 338 to 795 of the family's 1533-position model. The record is from RNAcentral.